UACGAAGGGGGCUAGCGUUGUUCGGAAUUACUGGGCGUAAAGCGCGCGCAGGCGGUUCGAUAAGUUGGGGGUGAAAUCCCUGGGCUCAACCCAGGAGUGGCCUUCAAGACUGUCGAGCUAGAGGACGAGAGAGGUGAGUGGAAUUCCCAGUGUAGAGGUGAAAUUCGUAGAUAUGCGGAGGAACACCGAUGGCGAAGGCAAUCCCCUGGACCUGUACUGACGCUCAUGCACGAAAGCGUGGGGAGCAAACAGG
This 253-nucleotide ribosomal RNA is filed under the name uncultured bacterium. Its description in RNAcentral is "partial 16S ribosomal RNA". It matches the Rfam family "Bacterial small subunit ribosomal RNA", at positions 524 to 776 of the family's 1533-position model. The record is from RNAcentral.